CAUGAACUAGAGUGGAAACUUCC
This 23-nucleotide non-coding RNA is filed under the name Cricetulus griseus (Chinese hamster). Lineage: Eukaryota; Metazoa; Chordata; Mammalia; Rodentia; Cricetidae. The record is from RNAcentral.